This 468-nucleotide ribosomal RNA is filed under the name uncultured bacterium. RNAcentral describes it as "partial 16S ribosomal RNA". It matches the Rfam family "Bacterial small subunit ribosomal RNA", at positions 28 to 507 of the family's 1533-position model. The record is from RNAcentral.
GACGAGCGCUGGCGGCGUGCUUAACACAUGCAAGUCGAACGGAAAGGCCCUGCUUUUGUGGGGUGCUCGAGUGGCGAACGGGUGAGUAACACGUGAGUAACCUGCCCUUGACUUUGGGAUAACUUCAGGAAACUGGGGCUAAUACCGGAUAGGAGCUCCUGCUGCAUGGUGGGGGUUGGAAAGUUUCGGCGGUUGGGGAUGGACUCGCGGCUUAUCAGCUUGUUGGUGGGGUAGUGGCUUACCAAGGCUUUGACGGGUAGCCGGCCUGAGAGGGUGACCGGCCCCAUUGGGACUGAGAUACGGCCCAGACUCCUACGGGAGGCAGCAGUGGGGAAUACUGCACAAUGGGCGGAAGCCUGAUGCAGCAACGCCGCGUGCGGGAUGACGGCCUUCGGGUUGUAAACCGCUUUCGCCUGUGACGAAGCGUGAGUGACGGUAAUGGGUAAAGAAGCACCGGCUAACUACGUG